AAAGUUUCUAAUUCGGUCCCCGCCGGCAGCGUGGCCGCCGCCGCAUCGAAAACAGGAGCGGAGCCGGUGAUGGCUUACCCACCGCAGACAUCCGCCGGAUCGAGUGCAAUUCCUUACGGAACGUCACAUCCUCCGCCGCCGAAUCCGGCUGCGCAAUAUGGAUACCCGCCCCAACAACCGGCUUACGGUGGAUAUCCGCCCCAACAACCGGGAUAUGGGUAUCCACCGCAACAACAGAGCUACGGUGGAUAUCCACCACAAAAUGGAUAUGGUGGAUACCCGCAACAGAAUGGUUA
RNAcentral lists this long non-coding RNA (296 nucleotides) under Phaseolus vulgaris (common bean). RNAcentral describes it as "long non-coding RNA (PVUL_LNC001339)". The record is from RNAcentral. Lineage: Eukaryota; Viridiplantae; Streptophyta; Magnoliopsida; Fabales; Fabaceae.